Molecule: non-coding RNA, 70 nt
Organism: Dipodomys ordii (Ord's kangaroo rat)
Lineage: Eukaryota; Metazoa; Chordata; Mammalia; Rodentia; Heteromyidae
Source: Rfam
GGGAAUGUGGCUUAGUGGUAGAGUGCUUGCCUAGCAUGCAUGAAGCUCUAGGUUUAAUUCCUCAGUACCA